RNAcentral lists this ribosomal RNA (231 nucleotides) under uncultured bacterium. RNAcentral's name for it is "partial 16S ribosomal RNA". It matches the Rfam family "Bacterial small subunit ribosomal RNA", at positions 15 to 237 of the family's 1533-position model. The record is from RNAcentral.
GAUCAUAGCUCAGGAUGAACGCUAGCUACAGGCUUAACACAUGCAAGUCGAGGGGCAGCAUGGUCUUAGCUUGCUAAGGCCGAUGGCGACCGGCGCACGGGUGAGUAACGCGUAUCCAACCUGCCUUACACUCUUGGACAGCCUUCUGAAAGGGAGAUUAAUACAAGAUGUUAUCAUGAGUAAGCAUUUUCACAUGAUUAAAGGUUUACCGGUGUAGAUGGGGAGUGCGUU